GCAAAUCCUUGUGACAAUCCCUUGAGUUGAGCCAGCAGCAGGUGGAAAUGCUUGCUGCUAAAAAUGCCACGCUAAGGGAGUCGGUGAAAUGUCUCACUGACAAUGUUACCCAGAAGCCGCUGGAGAGGACGCGGAGACCAUGGUAAAAAGCUUCAUCAAAACCCACCUGAAGCUGCAGGAGGACAUGGUGAAGAAUAUCGCCUUCAAUAGAGUGCAUCGCAUUGGCCCCAUCUGGGCUGCGACCGGGAGACCACGUCCUAUUGUGGCCAAAUUCGGCCACUUCAAACAAAAGGAACAGGUGAAAAGUCGCAGCAGGAAAUUAAAAGGAACUGACUUCAGUGUAAACAACCAGUUCCCAAAAGAGAUCCUGGAACGACGGCGGGUCCUCUUCCCAAUCCGAUGAGGAUUCAUCCAGAAGGG
Molecule: long non-coding RNA, 420 nt
Organism: Oreochromis aureus
Lineage: Eukaryota; Metazoa; Chordata; Actinopteri; Cichliformes; Cichlidae
Source: Ensembl